RNAcentral lists this long non-coding RNA (5876 nucleotides) under Brassica napus (rape). Its description in RNAcentral is "long non-coding RNA (BNAP_LNC005463)". Lineage: Eukaryota; Viridiplantae; Streptophyta; Magnoliopsida; Brassicales; Brassicaceae. The record is from RNAcentral.
UGGGUGUUAUUUUAAAAUGAUAUAUGUAUAGAGGUUUUUCAACCAUUACUUCAUUGGCACAAAACAUUUAUAACUGCAAAUACCUUUUUUUUAAAGUAAAACUAAUAAAAGCGUGUACAACAAAUGUAUUUUGAUAUAUAUUAUAUGCAUCAAGUUAUAAAGGUUGGAAACAUUGCAAAACUGUUUGGAGCAAAGUUUUUAACUUCACGAUCUUCAUCUUGACAUUAGUCCAGUGCCGGCCCUGGCCACAAGCAGAAGAAGCAUGGGCUUCCAGCCAACACGAUAAUAAGUAUUUUCGCGGCUUCAUAUUUAUAAAAAGUGAUUUUAGCCUAGUGGUUCUAAGAGAAAUUAUCAGUGCUGGAGAUGUUGGGUUCAAUUACCCCUGACAGCUUUUUGUUUUAUUUUGGCCUCAAAUAUAAAAUGGGACACGUGUCACUCACAUAACGCACGACUUGAUGACGUGACAUCACAGGAGGGAGGCGAACAUAUUUUUAUAUAUAUAGAUUAUUCAUAUUUUUAAACAGUACUUCAGUUUUAAUAAAAUAGAUAUACAUGUAUCGUUGUAUCAACUAUCAACCACGCGGUAUACACAUAAACCUUCUGUUUAUUGUUUUUUACACAAAACUUUGAUUUUUCCUAAAACAAACGCUUGUCAAUAUGAAACAUGCGGAUUCGAAUACAGGGACCGACACAGUGAUGGUACUAACAUAAACCAAUAUGUUGAAUAUCCUGGUGUCUUAUUACAAUGUUUCAACUAAGAGGAUUUUUAGCAAUUGUGUAUUUAAUGCAAAUGCGAUGUUAUAUAUAGGGACUCUGUAAUGCAUAUUGAUGUUGUAAGAUAUGUAGGGAAUUUGUUUUAUGCAAAACUAUCGGGUCCUAGCUAUAUACAUAUUAAAAAAAAACCUAUAUACACAUAUUUUAAAGUGUAAAAUACUUAUACAUUUAAUUUUUAAAUCUAAUUGGUCUGGAGAUUGAAACGAAAUAAUGUAUGAUCAAAAUAAAAUAAAAUAAAAUAAACAGUAAGGAGAGUACCUGCAAAACAUAGAAGCAAGACCAAGCAACACAACCGAGGAGUAUCAACAAGGUUCCACCAACCCAAUGAUUAUGGUCUUGUGAACUGUUGCUAUGUUCGUUGUGUUGAUUCGUAUUUGGGUUAGACCAUUGUAAAGGAAUAAGUGGACCUUUGUACAAUGUCAUGACCAAUGCCCCUCCAAGAGCAACCAAUGUCCCAAUUAUCUUUGCUUGGCUUCGUACCUCUGCUAUAUUCACUUUCUCCAUUCUGUUCACAUAUCACCGUUUCCAGGUAGUUUAAACAUGUGUUUUCGUUUUAUAUAACUAGGAUCUUAGACUGAAAUCCAGGGGAUACUCUUUCAUUUUAGAUAUUCAUAGUGAUUACCACAAUUAAAAUAACAUUGAGAGGACUCGAAAGUACUCUGCUAGUCCUCCAAGCGAAUUCUUUUCCCAUUGAAACAUAAUAAGUGAGCUUAAUAUGUGUCUCAACCACUGAUUACCUUAGAAUCCAAGCGAUUAUGAAAGUGACAGAAGGAAGAACGUUCAUGAUAGCAGAUGUAUAUGUUGCUGAUGUCAUGUUCAUCCCCAAGUAACCAAAACCCUGGUCCAAUAUUGGCCUACAGAGGCCGGUACAAAAGCAUGUAUUAAGGGUAUCUUUCUGAAAUAUCAUCGCUCUGUUUUUUUUUCUUCUUAGUUUACAAACAUAAUGAUUUUUUUCGAUAUAAGUGCUUAAAAGGAGAAGAUUAAUUCUUACUCUAAAAAGCCGAGUAACACUAUUUUCCAGAAAACCGAUAGUGUCAUCUUCGGCCUCACUUUCCUGUAAAAUCAAAAUCAAGCCCAUUAAGAAAAAAAGUAAUCAAAUUUAAACCAUUGUUGUUUUCUUAAUCCAUAAAAUAUGUAAUAUAAUAUAAUUAUUGCAUGUUUUACAUGGAUUGACCUUUCAAAGAAGAUUGCAAAAGGUGCGAGAACAAGAGCAGCAACAGCAUUGCGGUACACAAUCAGAACGUAACGAUUCUGGCCUUGAUUGAGAGUGGCCAUAAUGACAAUAUACGUUCCUGCUCCUCCAAAUUGCAAAAAUAUCAUUAACAAAAAUGGUCUAAAGUUUUUGAUGAUCGUACUUACACCCUCCAUGGUUAUUGAUUCUUUUCUUUUUGUGUUAUUGAAGUUAAAUUUUCUGAAUGUUAAGAAGUGUCAGAGCUGAUGGGGAAAAUAUGAUGAGCGAGUCAUCUUAAAUAAAACAUCAAAAAGGUGAUACAGAGUUUUAGAUAAACAUGAGAACUUGUUUUUCCUCUGAUCGAGAGUGAUUAACUAAAGAAACAACGUCUUUUAUCAAAAAUAAAAAGAAAAAGAAAAAAGAAACACAAUAAAGUGUAUACCGUGUAUAUGCAUAUCUAUAAGGCCACGACCGAUAGGAUACGAUAUUCAAUAAUGGUAAUAAUUUUAUUUUGGAUGGGUAUGGGUUCAUUCAAGCAAUCGUAAAGCAGACAAUAAUCCAUAUAGGCUUUGAUAAUUAUUUUGCUAACACACAUAUCUUGCUCACGUCAUUUUUUUAUUAUUUGUUUGUGCUUUGCCAAACUUGAUAAACAUAUAAACCGGAAAGCUACAUUUCUAAUACUGGAGCCAAAUUUCACAAUCACAGAACGUCAGAACGUAACGUCUUCGGAUUUUGAGCAAACCGUUAUGAACUUGUAGUUAUUUGAGUAUGAUUCUCGUUUUCUUUAUAAGAAAAGUAGGAGAAAAUGUAUUUUAGGUUAGGAUGUUUAUACUUUAGUUACUUCCAUUUUUUAUUUACCGUAGGAGAUGGACAUAUAUCUACUAAACCAAUUGAUAGACCAUGGACAGCUAGCACCGUGCGAACGUUGUUUUCAGGAGCCUAAGGCAAUUUGUUUUCUUUUGACAAUAUUUAAGGCAAUUUUUUUUUCAAAUGAUCUUUUCAUUUAAGAUUUUGGUAUGUUCACAUAAAACUAAAAUAUAGAAAAAAAUAUACAAUCAAACUUUUUAUGUACAGUAUGUAUGUAAACAUAUAUAACACUAACUAAUGCAUUUAUAUGUAAAAUGGGGCCGUAAAUAUGAACUAAAAAUUAUGGAGCCUAAAGCCAUUGCCUUUUCCAACAAGGAGUAAGCACGGUUCUGACAAUGGAUUUGACCUACUUUUACCUGUGGUUUAUAAGUGUUUUAAUUACUAAUUAUUAUAUUAUAGAGUCUAUUUAUAGUAUUUAUAGGACCAUGAGUGAUUUGGAGGAAAAUGAUGAUUUUGGAGCAUUUUGGAGAUAUUUGGAGUAAACACCCGAGAUGAACAUCGAGCUCGAUCAUCGGUUGAUAAUGAAGAGGAAUGAUCGAUUGAUGUUCACAUUGACAACGAUCGACAGCGAAGCGCAAAAAGCCUGUUUGGUCACAGCCGACUUAGAGCCCAAGUCUUCACCAAUUUACAAGAUUACCCCUGACGAGUUUUAACCUAAUUAUAUAAGCUUUGCCAACAUGUUAGAGGCAGAGUGUGCUUUCUUGAAUUUCUAUUUUCACAGCAAAUGUUUUCUAGGAUUUUAGUAGAUUGGAGAGAAGAUCCAAAGUUAUUUGUAAUUGGAACUCCAUUGUUAUCUAUCUAUUAUUCUAAUGCAGGUUUCAUACCUAUUUGCUGUUAUGAAUUGUUUGGCCAUGUCUGAGAAGUUCUCUUGGUAGAUUUUACGGUUUAAAUAGGUUAUGAGGGAUUAGCCCCAACUAUAGAUUGCUAAGUUGUGAUAUUAAUCAUUAGGAUUAUCAUUAAUGCGUGAUUCUAGAUUAGCAACCUAGAACUUGCCCUAGGAUUGUUAGAUAUAAGCGAUACCUUUCAUCUCAUCCUGAAACCAUUCUAAUUGAGCUAAGAUCUUGCUAAGAGUAAGGUGAGAUCUUAUCUAGUGAGCUUAGUGAAUACAUUCAACCAGCGCAUUAACGCUUGACCAACAACAUCGAUCGAAAUUCAAAUAGAAUAAUUGGUAAACGUUUCGAAUAGUGAAUCGAUCGAUAUUCAUAUAGAAUCAUCGAUCGACACUUGUCAAUAGAAGAACCUAGAAAACGAGAGCCUAGUGGUUCGUUUAUAAGUGUUCAGCUCUACAAUAUCAUGCAUACAACUUGUUAGGCAUCUAUAGGAUUUAUAAUUCCAAAUUUUCUGAAUAAAAACCCAAAGUCUGGCUAUUUCCUUUUAAGCACCAAAACCGCAACCAAUCAAUCGAGAAAUUACUUUCUCAACAACUACAACUUUACAUUUAAACAAUUAAAUCAUCUAGCUUAACAAGUCUGAUUAGAUUUAUUAGGUUCCCUAGCUCCUUGUGGAUUCGAUCCUUAAGUACUACAAUUGAACCUCUUAUUUAGGAGAGUAAAAUAAAUCCUUAGGGUAAUUUGAGUGAUAUCAAUUUUGGCGCCGUUGUCAGGGAGUUUUGAUCGCCUAUUAGAUUUGAUUCUUGUUAAGUUAAAAACCGUUUUUUGACAAAAAAAAAUUUUCUUGGCUUUUCAGGUACAUGCCUAGCAGUAACAGAAGCAACAAGAAAACUCAACUGCUAUUCUCAUCAGAUUAGAUGAUAUGCUUGAUGAGUUACAUGGUUCUUGCAUAUUUUCUAAAAUUGAUUUGAAAAGUGGAUAUCAUCAGAUCAGGAUGAAAGAAGGAGAUGAGUGGAAAACUGCUUUUAAAACUAAACAUGGCUUGUAUGAAUGGUUAGUUAUGCCAUUUGGAUUAACCAAUGCUCCUAGUACAAUCAUGAGACUGAUGAAUCAUAUUCUUAGGUCUUUCAUAGACAUCUUUGUUGUUAUGUACUUUGAUGAUAUAUUAGUUUACAGCAAAUGCUUAGAAGAUCAUAUAGAACAUCUUAGGGCUGUUUUGGAUGUUUUGAGAAAAGAAAAGCUUUAUGCCAAUAUAAAGAAGUGUACUUUUUGCACAGAUAACUUGGUCUUGCUAGGUUUUGUUGUAAGUGCAGAUGGUGUAAAGGUGGAUCAGGAGAAGAUCAAAGCAAUACAAGAGUGGCCGGAUGUUGGGUUCAAUUACCCCUGACAGCUUUUUGUUUUAUUUUGGCCUCAAAUAUAAAAUGGGACACGUGUCACUCACAUAACGCACGACUUGAUGACGUGACAUCACAGGAGGGAGGCGAACAUAUUUUUAUAUAUAUAGAUUAUUCAUAUUUUUAAACAGUACUUCAGUUUUAAUAAAAUAGAUAUACAUGUAUCGUUGUAUCAACUAUCAACCACGCGGUAUACACAUAAACCUUCUGUUUAUUGUUUUUUACACAAAACUUUGAUUUUUCCUAAAACAAACGCUUGUCAAUAUGAAACAUGCGGAUUCGAAUACAGGGACCGACACAGUGAUGGUACUAACAUAAACCAAUAUGUUGAAUAUCCUGGUGUCUUAUUACAAUGUUUCAACUAAGAGGAUUUUUAGCAAUUGUGUAUUUAAUGCAAAUGCGAUGUUAUAUAUAGGGACUCUGUAAUGCAUAUUGAUGUUGUAAGAUAUGUAGGGAAUUUGUUUUAUGCAAAACUAUCGGGUCCUAGCUAUAUACAUAUUAAAAAAAAACCUAUAUACACAUAUUUUAAAGUGUAAAAUACUUAUACAUUUAAUUUUUAAAUCUAAUUGGUCUGGAGAUUGAAACGAAAUAAUGUAUGAUCAAAAUAAAAUAAAAUAAAAUAAACAGUAAGGAGAGUACCUGCAAAACAUAGAAGCAAGACCAAGCAACACAACCGAGGAGUAUCAACAAGGUUCCACCAACCCAAUGAUUAUGGUCUUGUGAACUGUUGCUAUGUUCGUUGUGUUGAUUCGUAUUUGGGUUAGACCAUUGUAAAGGAAUAAGUGGACCUUUGUACAAUGUCAUGACCAAUGCCCCUCCAAGAGCAACCAAUGUCCCAAU